AUUGAACGCUGGCGGCAUGCCUUACACAUGCAAGUCGAACGGCAGCGCGGGAGCAAUCCUGGCGGCGAGUGGCGAACGGGUGAGUAAUAUAUCGGAACGUGCCCUGUAGCGGGGGAUAACCUAUCGAAAGAUGGACUAAUACCGCAUACGCUCUACGGAGGAAAGCGGGGGUCGCAAGACCUCGCACUAUAGGAGCGGCCGAUAUCGGAUUAGCUAGNGGCGGGUAAAGCCCACCAAGGCGACGAUCCGUAGCUGGUCUGAGAGGAUGAUCAGCCACACUGGAACUGAGACACGGUCCAGACUCCUACGGGAGGCAGCAGUGGGGAAUUUUGGACAAUGGGCGCAAGCCUGAUCCAGCCAUGCCGCGUGAGUGAAGAAGGCCU
Molecule: ribosomal RNA, 383 nt
Filed under: uncultured bacterium
Lineage: Bacteria
Description: bacterial SSU rRNA
Rfam family: Bacterial small subunit ribosomal RNA
Source: RNAcentral